Molecule: ribosomal RNA, 770 nt
Filed under: uncultured bacterium
Lineage: Bacteria
Description: bacterial SSU rRNA
Rfam family: Bacterial small subunit ribosomal RNA
Source: RNAcentral
GCGUAACGCGUAUGCAACCUACCCUUAACUGGGACAUAACCUGGCGAAAGCCGGGCUAAUAUUCCAUGAGGUUUAACUGAGGCAUCUUAGUUAAAUCAAAGUCUGAGAAGAUGGUUAAGGAUGGGCAUGCGUUCCAUUAGCUAGUUGGUGGGGUAAAGGCUCACCAAGGCGACGAUGGGUAGGGGUUCUGAGAGGAAGGUCCCCCACACUGGUACUGAGACACGGACCAGACUCCUACGGGAGGCAGCAGUAAGGAAUAUUGGGCAAUGGUCGGAAGACUGACCCAGCCAUGCCGCGUGCAGGAAGAAGGCCUUAUAGGUUGUAAACUGCUUUAGCCAGGGGCUAAACCUACCGAUGCGUUGGUAGCUGAAGGUACCUGGAGAAUAAGCAUCGGCUAACUCCGUGCCAGCAGCCGCGGUAAUACGGAGGAUGCGAGCGUUAUCCGGAUUUACUGGGUUUAAAGGGUGCGCAGGCGGUUGUUUAAGUCAGGGGUGAAAUACCGGGGCUCAACCCUGGGACUGCCUUUGAUACUGAACAGCUAGAGUGAAGAUGGAGUGGGUGGAAUGUGUUGUGUAGCGGUGAAAUGCAUAGAUAUAACACAGAACACCGAUCGCGAAGGCAGCUCACUAAACUUCAACUGACGCUCAUGCACGAAAGCGUGGGGAUCAAACAGGAUUAGAUACCCUGGUAGUCCACGCUGUAAACGAUGAUCACUAGCUGUUGGGCUGGAAUAGCUCAGUGGCUAAGCGAAAGUGAUAAGUGAUCCACCU